AAAAACAGGUGAAAGGCAGUAAGAUGAAAAUUUUACCGUCCCCAGACGCGGUGCUCGUGGGAGUAACUUCUAAGCCUCCAAGGUUGCCGCCGACUCCGGUUUUCUCAAAUCUGAGACGAGAGAAGAAUAUUUUGAAUUGCAGCAUGUAUUUGAAUUGUCGGCACCGUUAAUUGAUCGUUCAUAGUCGGGCGGCCCAAGUUUGUUCUGAUAUGGGAUCCCAAUCUGAGUAACACUUGGAAGUCGAAAAUCAUCGAAACCCAAUUCAUUGCGGCAGUUUGUAGGUGUUUCCUUCAGUAUGGCUUUUGCUUCUGAGCAAUCUCAUGGUGCUGAUUAAUGGAGUCAUUGCCCGUGGCCGGAGAGGAAGAAGGGUACCCAAUCUCCUCAGCAGUAUUGUAUGAUAGACUUAUGGGCAUACUAGGGUGAAUACGCCGGAAGUUGCUGCGCCGAGAUCACAUGAUUCAACAUAGGCAUGAGGCUCCUAUUGUAUGUGUCAUAACACGCUAAAUGAUUAGCAACAACAGUAUCGAGUCCUUUAAUUUGUUUUUGUACUAAGCCAGAUGCUCUUUUAAAGUUUGUGACAUGUAUUUGAUUAGCUUAAUCUCACUUAGUGUGCAUUGUUUUCCCUUUCUACUAUGAUUUCCUGAAUACCA
Molecule: long non-coding RNA, 650 nt
Organism: Rosa chinensis
Lineage: Eukaryota; Viridiplantae; Streptophyta; Magnoliopsida; Rosales; Rosaceae
Exons: 2
Source: RefSeq, a predicted model, not a curated record